GUAAGACUCUCGGGAAAUUGAGAGUACUAUGUAAGAGUGAAAAGUAUGAGUGAUAAGAAUGAAGAAUGUUGAAUCCGUAAGACAGUACGGAUCAGCAAUGUAUGAAUGAAAUGUUUGAAUCCGCGAGACGGAUUCAAAGAAUGAAAGAUGCGAAUGCAAUGUUUGAAUCCGCAAGACGGAUUCAAAACAUAGAAGGAAUGAAAUGCAGAAAAUGAUAUGUUUGAAUAUGUGAGACGGAUUCAGCACAUGUAAUGAAUGAAAGAUGUGAAUGGGUAAUGUAAAUGAAAUGUUUGAAUCCGCGAAAAGGAUUCAAAGCACGAAAGGAAGAAAAUGUAUGAAUAGUAUGUUUGGAACCGCUAGACGGAUUCAAAACAUGAAAGCAAUGAAAGGCAUGAAUGUGACGUUUGAGUUCGCGGGACGGAUUUAAAAUAUAAAAAGGGAUGAAAUUAAUCCACAUCACAAUGUGUCGACAGUUUGACCAUGGUUGUGUCAAACGAGUCAUACGGGUAAAUGUAAAGUAAUAAACAAAAGAAUGAUCGUAAUGGGCAUGCAAACCUAAAUUUUAAAGCGAAAGAAAGAAGUUCGAACAAGUUAUGUGUUAAAUGUGUUAGUAAUGGACUCUUAGGAGUCAUAAUGAAUGACGGGCUACGACCCGGACAAUGAUUUAAAUACGAACAGGUAAGUUUUGUUAAGAAUACCGAAAUGAUGUAAUGAAUGUCUUUGCAAGUAAGCAUGAAUGGAAAGAAGUACGAAGAGUACCUCAAUACAUCUAUGGUAAGUAAGAAAUGACAGUCUGACCUGGAAAGGUCCAACUGCAAAGGUUGAUGAAAUGAGGAACUAGAAUAAAAGAAUUGCAGGUAAGGAAUGAAAUGCGGAAUGUGUUAAAGUUUGUACGCAGGACGUUGAAAAAGGA
This 913-nucleotide long non-coding RNA is filed under the name Helianthus annuus (common sunflower). Its description in RNAcentral is "hypothetical non coding rna". The record is from RNAcentral. Lineage: Eukaryota; Viridiplantae; Streptophyta; Magnoliopsida; Asterales; Asteraceae.